CUCUCCUACGGGACGCAGCAGUAGGGAAUAUUGCUCAAUGGGGGAAACCCUGAAGCAGCAACGCCGCGUGGAGGAUGAAGGUUUUAGGAUUGUAAACUCCUUUUGUGAGAGAAGAUAAUGACGGUAUCUCACGAAUAAGCACCGGCUAACUCCGUGCCAGCAGCCGCGGUAAUACGGAGGGUGCAAGCGUUACUCGGAAUCACUGGGCGUAAAGAGUGCGCAGGCGGGCUUGUAAGUCAGAGGUGAAAACCCGGAGCUUAACUACAGAACUGCAUUUGAAACUAUGAGUCUAGAGUGUGGGAGGG
RNAcentral lists this ribosomal RNA (305 nucleotides) under uncultured bacterium. RNAcentral's name for it is "bacterial SSU rRNA". It matches the Rfam family "Bacterial small subunit ribosomal RNA", at positions 334 to 656 of the family's 1533-position model. The record is from RNAcentral.